RNAcentral lists this ribosomal RNA (427 nucleotides) under uncultured bacterium. Its description in RNAcentral is "bacterial SSU rRNA". It matches the Rfam family "Bacterial small subunit ribosomal RNA", at positions 355 to 774 of the family's 1533-position model. The record is from RNAcentral.
UAGGGAAUAUUGGACAAUGGGGGCAACCCUGAUCCAGCCAUGCCGCGUGAGUGAAGAAGGCCCUCGGGUUGUAAAGCUCUUUUGUCCGGAAAGAAAAGCUUCGGGUUAAUACCCCGGGGUUCUGACGGUACCGGAAGAAUAAGCACCGGCUAACUUCGUGCCAGCAGCCGCGGUAAUACGAAGGGUGCAAGCGUUACUCAGAAUUACUGGGCGUAAAGCGUGCGUAGGUGGUUGUUUAAGUCUGAUGUGAAAGCCCUGGGCUCAACCUGGGAAUGGCAUUGGAAACUGGGCAGCUAGAGUGCGGUAGAGGGUAGUGGAAUUCCCGGUGUAGCAGUGAAAUGCGUAGAGAUCGGGAGGAACAUCUGUGGCGAAGGCGACUGCCUGGACCAGCACUGACACUGGGGCACGAAAGCGUGGGGAGCAAACA